This 211-nucleotide ribosomal RNA is filed under the name uncultured bacterium. Its description in RNAcentral is "partial 16S ribosomal RNA". It matches the Rfam family "Bacterial small subunit ribosomal RNA", at positions 524 to 734 of the family's 1533-position model. The record is from RNAcentral.
UACGUAGGGCGCAAGCGUUGUCCGGAAUUAUUGGGCGUAAAGAGCUCGUAGGCGGUUUGUCGCGUCUGCUGUGAAAACCUGAGGCUCAACCUCGGGCUUGCAGUGGGUACGGGCAGACUAGAGUGCGGUAGGGGUGACUGGAAUUCCUAGUGUAGCGGUGGAAUGCGCAGAUAUCAGGAGGAACACCGAUGGCGAAGGCAGGUCACUGGGC